AGAGAUCUCAACCACACGAACCAGUUCAUCGUGGGCCUUGCAUUGUGUGCUCUUGGGAACAUCUGCUCUGCUGAAAUGGCGCGGGAUCUUUCACCUGAAGUGGAGAGGUUGAUGCGCAGUAGGGAAGUCAAUACAAAGAAAAAGGUAUCUUUCCCUGUAUAUUGUAAUUCAAUCGAGCCCAGUAGACUAGUAGAGCAUGGCAAAAUCAAACAACUGAUAGCUGAAUUAUUGAUGUGUCAUUUUAAGGAAUUUGAACAGAGUCUUGAAACCUAGGUUGAUUCAGAAACUGCAUCUUUUAGAACUACCAAAUUCAGUCUCCUUGUGAAUGUUUUCAUCACAACUGCUGCAUGCGUAUUUUUGGAUGCAAUUUAAUUCAUGGUAUACUUCUACUUCUUUAUUAGGCUGCUUUGUGCUCUAUAAGGAUUGUCAGGAAAGUGCCAGAUUUGGCAGAGAACUUCAUGGGCCUGGCUGCAUCAUUGUUGAAGGAGAAACACCAUGGGGUCCUCAUAUCUGCAAUUCAGCUCUGCACAGAACUAUGCAAAGCAAGCAAAGAUUCUCUAGAGUACCUGAGGAAGGUAAGGGCAUCUAUUUCUUACCACAAGGCCCCAACAUCACCAAUAUAAGAGCAUCUCCAAAAGACUCUUUAUUUUUUACUCUCUAUUUAACUUUUUAUUUGUCUCUCCAUAAAUAUUAAACUCUAUAUAUAACAUCUCAUUCCAAUAAACUCUCCAACAUACAAGUUAGCUUGGCUAGCGAGAGUUGCUAGCCAAAUUUGGCUAGUGAGGGAGUUAAUUUACAGAGCCAGAUAGCUUAGCAAGUUAAAUGGCUAGUCUGUUGGAGAGCUAUUAUGCUAUUAAGUAGUUAAAAUUUAGCUUGACAAGCUAUUUAGCUAGUCUCUUGGAGAUGCUCUAAGUAUAGAAUCACAGGUGAACAUGCAGAAAAAAACUGGAAUCAGGUCAUUUAUUUGUUUAACAUUUUCUUGUGACGAUUAAAUGAUGAUCCUAUUUGAUAAUUCAUGUAUCACUCUCUCUUGCUCUGUAUAGGAGAUGCACAGUUUUAUAAUUUUUAACAUUUUCUUUGCUGAAAACGGCACUAUUCCUGAGUGGCUGAGACACAAUUUCUUCUCAUUGCAGAACUGCAUCGAAGGUUUGGCUCGCAUACUGAGAGAUGUGUCCAAUAGGUCAUAUGCUCCGGAGUAUGAUGUUUCUGGCAUUGUUGAUCCAUUCUUGCAUAUUCGAGUCCUUAAACUUUUGCGGAUCUUGGGUCAAGGAGAUGCAGAUUGCAGUGAAUAUAUGAAUGAUAUUCUUGCUCAGGUGAUUGAUUAAUCUUUAUCUUUGGUGUCACAUGCAUUACACCUGCAUUUAUUGUUUUAUGGUACAAACUACAAAGCACACAUAUUUCAGCAAGGGCAUGCAUCUUUUUGUCUUUUUUUUUCUUGGUUUCAUACUUUCAUGUCUCUUGGUCUUACAUGCCAAUCAUGGUAUAGGCUUACAAUAUUAUAGAUCUGCUAUAUAAUACCAUGGAGUAGUUUUUCAUUAUUUAACCAAUGACAGAUGUAUGGUAUAUGCCAUGUUGUGCUGACUAAACUUGCAAUUAUUAUUUUUAUCCAGGUUGCAACAAAAACUGAGUCCAACAAGAAUGCUGGAAACGCCAUUCUGUAUGAAUGUGUUCAGACUAUAAUGGGUAUUGAAGCUACUAGUGGUUUACGUGUGCUGGCAAUCAAUAUUUUGGGUAGAUUCUUGUCUAACCGUGACAACAAUAUAAGGUCGAUAUUCUUUUCUUGUUGCUCUCGAUUGCUUAUUGUUUUUCCUGCUUUUUUUUAUAAACCUUGUUCAUGUUUAGUUUCUUCUACCAUGCUCGAUAGACCUGCUAGUUGUAAUAUGUGCCUAUAUUAAACUUGCAAUUGCAGUUAUUAUAGCCUAUGAAAUUGAUUCGGUUGCAACUAUUUUUCAUGCAAUAAUGCAUGGAACAAAUGGUUACUAUUGGUUAUGUACUUAUGUUCUUUUGGUCAAUGAAACAUUUAUAGGUGGGGUAUUUACUGUGCCUGUCCUCUUUCAGAUAUGUUGCUCUUAACAUGCUUAUGAGGGCCAUUACAGUUGAUGCACUAGCAGUGCAGAGACACAGAACAACAAUAUUAGAGUGUGUAAAGGUAAGAACUAAGGUGCCGUUUGGUUCACAUAUUUGUAACGUAAUGGGUAACUGAUAACGUUAAAUCAUGUUUGUUUUAGUCCAACCGUAAUCAGAUACCACACUAAAAUUUGAUACCUGCCUAUUCAAAUUUGUUACCGCCAGUAAUCGAACGUAAACCAUUACCAUUACCAUUUGCGUUACAUUUCUUGAACCAAACAGCACCUAAGAACACAUGCAAUACUAUCCAUGCUUAGUGCUUGUCUUACUAUAUCGUAUGCUAAUUCAUGCAUUUGUUAGAUCACAAGAACCCUCAUAUUUUGCCACAUGCCCACACUUCUUAACCUUCAGCAUGUUAGCAUAAUAUCUCAAGAUUUAGACAUUCAUUUUUUUUUAUUUUUUUUGCAAAUCCAGUGUAGAUUGUGGACCCACUUUCUGUUUCCAACUUUGAAAAGUUCUUGAAUGAAUGCAUGUGACAAAGGGAUUGGCAAAUCUAGCCCAAUAUUGGGUUCGGAGCAUCAAUCAUGCAGUUGUUUAGAAAGUGCUUCUCUUGUAUUCCCUCUAUUCCAAAUAGUAAGUCGUUUUGACUUUUCUAGGUUUUUAGAUUUAGCUAUGUAUCAAGUAGGCCUGAGCAAAAAAGGCUGAAACCGAAGACCAAACCUGAAUGGACCGCGACCGAGACUGAACAGACUGAAAAUUUGGUCGUCGGUCCUUUGUUUGGUUGCCUGUUGCUGAUAACUGAUCAAAUAGAUUGGGUGUCCGGUCCUGUAGUUCGGGUAACCGAUAUACCCUAACAGGCAACAGUCCAGUAAAAUCAGCCCAGCUAAAGCCCAUCAGCGAAACCCAGAUUUUAUAUUUAAGCUCACUUGAGACUCAACUUCCCAUCCUAGUUCAGCUAACCCUAGCCGCCACAUAGCUCUGGCACCGCUACACACCACCAGAAAAAUCGCAGGCGCCGCAGCUGGUCAGCAGCGGACCAUUGGUGCCGACCCCCCAACACCCCGUCUCGUCUGCUCGGCGUUGCGGCCUGCCAGUGGUUCAGUGCUACAUGCUGCACACUUGCAUGUGCAGGCAGUCAUCGACAAGCGACGGCAUCUGUUCGUGCAUCCCUACCAUAGGAUCCUAAAGGAGCGAGGAAAGUACAACAGGAAAAGAGCUUCGUUUCUGGGCAGAAGGAUCUGCUGGAAUUACUAGUAUCAAGUAUGAGACUUGAUGAUCUGAUGCCUCAACCUGUUGAUGUGCUGGCUGUGAAUGUGCAUGUUAGACUAUGAGAUGCAUCGGUCUUUUCAUGUGAAACCGAGAAACCAAACUAAAAACCAAGAGACCAAAUUGUCAGUCUUCGUUAAAUCAGGCACAACUUCGUUUUAUGAUUCUGGAAGACCGGAUUAAAAAACCCUGAAAUAACUGACCCGAUAAUUUGGUUAAAACCAAACGCCCUACCCAUAGUAUCAAGACAUAGUGUAUAUCUAGAUGCACCAAAGAAGCUAUGUAACUAGAAAAGACCAAACAACUUACAAUUUGGAAGGAUGGGGUACUUUCUAAACCUGGAUUCAUGUUAUUUGAGGCAGAUUUUUCAUUAUCUUUGUUACUGCUCUUGCAAGAAGGGCGGGCCUGGUGCAGCGGUAGAGCCUACCGUUUGUAACCGGAAGGUCCCGGGUUCGAGCCCCAACCUCUGCAUAUUGGGCUAGUUUGGUUUGUAGCGUGGGAACCUUUGCCUGGCCCAGGCACGCACCCUAGGCGUCCGAUUCCCUACGCCUGGGGUCGAAUGUUGUUGCCUGGCAGGCACAUCCAGGCCAGGACGGCAAGCAAACAAGCCCAUUAUGCGGGUAAGGCCACCCUAGGCGUCCGAUUCCCUACGCCUGGGGUCGAAUGUUGUUGCCUGGCAAGCACAUCCAGGCCAGGGCGGCAAGCAAACAAGCCCAUUAUGCGGGUAAGGCUUGGCGCUUAAAGAUACCCUUCCCUAGACCCCAUACAGUGCGGGAAGUCUACGACAUUGGGUACGCUCACAGCUCUUGCAAAGAAAUAUUUGAGUCAACAGUUCACAAUAUAUGAUCUACUCCCUCCGUUCCAAUUUAUAGGUUGUUUUGGCAUUUCUAGUUACACAACUAUUCAACUAUUAUGUAUCCCGACAUAUCGUAUAUCUAGGUGCAUAACAAAAUCUAUGUACCUAGAAAAGCCAUACCUAUAAUUUGGGACAGAGGGAUAUCAGUUUCUAUCUGUCCUGUUUAACUAGCUACAAAAUCUAUGUAUAUCAAGUCUGCUGUUUAACUCUACAUCAAACCUGACCUUUACUGUGUCAAGCGAAAGGGCCUCUAGCCAAGUUGGUUAGGUGGUCUGAGUAGCACUCCUCAGGUCCUGGGUUCGACUCCCCGUAGGAGCGAAUUUCAGGCUGUGGUUAAAAAAAUCCCCUUGUUUGUCCCACGACAAAGCACAGGUCUAAGGCCGGGUCGCGGUUGUUUCUCACAUGGACUACGGGUCCGUUGUGUAUGGGUGGGGCAGUGAUUCGGGGGUUUUCUCGACCUACUUGAGGUCUUCUUCUUAAUAUAAUGCCGGGAGCUGUCUUACCCCCCGUAGGUCAAGUUUUUUUUUUUACUGUUUCAAGCAGUCUAUUUUGUUAUUCUGGUUUUUAUUAUUUCUAAUUGCUGUGUACCUUUCAGGAUGCCGAUGCCUCCAUUCGCAAAAGGGCUCUUGAACUUGUUUAUUUGUUAGUCAAUGAUACAAAUGUAAAGCCUUUGACUAAAGAGCUCAUCGAUUACUUAAACAUAGCGGAUCCAGAUUUUAUAGGAGAUCUCACAGUAAAUAUAUGCUCUAUAGUUGAAAAGUUAGUAUCUUUUUAUUUUGUUGGUUCUUAUUGACUUAUGGGUGUUUAACAAUGUUGCAUUGCCAAUAGGUUUUCUCAAGAGAAGUUAUGGUACCUUGACCAGAUGUUCAAUGUUUUAUCUCUGGUAAGGACUUGAGUACUGUGAAGAUACUUUUAUAUCCAAAAAAUCUGCACCUCAGAACACCAUUUUUUUGGUAUCUUGCAAUUUACUUCUAACCUUGCAUCUUUUUGGCUGCGAUACUGUUGGAAGACUCAGUUAUUUCAUCUUCUGAACAAAUCUGUUCAACCUGCAUGCUUGUAAUUUGUAAAUAUGCAGGACCCUAAGUAGUGUAUAGUGCAUUGACAUUUGUUGAGAAGAAUUAAGAAUUAAGAAACUGUAGGGAAGAAACUUUCUCAAUAUUUCUUCAAAGCUAGUCUGUCCAUAGGGAAGAAACUCUAAUACUGGCUAUGCCCUUGAUUUUAACCUCAGUCUUUGGUUUCCUGCAUUUCUCCUUGCCCUACUUACAACAUGCACACAGCAACUUCCAAAGGAUGCCAAUUGCCAGACACUUCCACUAUCACAAAAAACCCGUCAUAACUUUUUUGAACUACUCAAAUAUUGGUAUCUCUGCACACACGUUGUUAUGUUGCUGGCUGGGAAUUGAGACACUGUUCAUUGUUAUGUUGUGAUCCAUUGCUUGACAUAGCUUGAGAUAUCAAACCGAAUUCAUGUUCCACUCUUAUUGUUGAACAGGCUGGAAAUCAUGUGAAGGAUGACAUAUGUCAUGCCCUUAUUGUUGUACUAAGUAAUACAUCAGAGCUUCAAGGAUAUUCAGUGAGGUCAUUGUAUAAGGCCUUACAAGAAUAUGGUAAACAGGUUAGGGGAAAGUUUAUACUCUCCAUGCAUUCCAUUCCAUCUCAUCCUACUUGAUGCCUGUAACACUGUCAAUAUUAUAAUGAUUAGGGAAGUUUAGUAAGAGUAGCUGUUUGGUGCAUUGGUGAAUAUGGUGAAAUGCUGGUGAACAAUGUUGGCAUGCUGGAUGGGGAGGAGCCAAUUAAGGUAAGUGGACAAUUCUUGAAGGAUAUGUUCUUUGUUGAUCCUUUGAAGUUUGAACUUGCUAGAUCGUGCUCCCAGCUGUUUCUGAACUACAUAAUCUGCUACAUUUAAGUUCUGUUGUUGUAUGCUCUAACUUCUACUUGAAGGAGCUAGGCUGACAGCCAUCCUGGCCCUAUGCAAACAAGGUUUCAGUAACUAUUUCCAAAAUCCGCUGCACAUUAUUCAUAUAUAUGUAUCCAGAACAGAUGACCUUAUUUACAAUCUAGAUAUUUAGCUUAGGGAAAUGAACUGAAUUGCUAAGGAACCUUAUCAACCGACGGUGCACUACUAUUCAUCUAAUUUGUGGUAUAAGGAUGUGAUUCAGCGCCUUUUAGUUCUAUUUGUAACUUGUCAUACAUCAUGAGAAAUGCAUCAAAUUGUUCAGGUAACAGAAUCAGAUGCUGUGGAUGCUGUAGAGGUCGCUCUUAACCGCUACUCAGCAGAUAUGACAACUGGAGCAAUGUGUCUGGUUGCUCUUCUGAAACUCUCCUCACGAUUUCCUUUGACAUCAGAGUAAGUUAUCUUUCAACCUAACCUAAUGUGGUUGUUGCACUAAAUUAUUACUUCAUGAGAUAUUGACUCAAAGCUGCGGUUCUCUUAACUAUGAACUUGUAUUUGUUUGGUGCACUUUUGCUUCACUUUUAUUCAUGAUGUUCCUGAUAAAUUUGAGUGCAUUGCUGGAGAUCCAAGUUUGUAUCUACAGAACUGGUCAGGACACCCUCUUGCGCCCUAACUGACCUGAUAUUCAAUGACACUUCUAAGUAGGCAUGAGUAUUUUGGACGCUGAACAUGUCCUAAUCCUGUACUCAAUGAUGUAGCAUCUGAGUAGGAAGGUCACAUGGAGUGGGGAGCAUGUCCACCUGUUUUGUUCUGUGGUGGCUAGAUGAAGAUAAUUAGGGAUAAUUAAGUUAAUAGAUGUUGACAGCAUGCCCUAUUUUUAUUUUUUUGUGUUAAAGCUCCGAGACAGUUUUCUUAGGGUGGUGCCUGGGAGAGGGGUCGUAAAAUGGACUUGUUUGGCCAAUUAGCCCCUUUUUUCAGAUCAGUGCAAUCUAUUAUCACAUAUUCCUGUUUCAAGUGGAUUUCAGACUCGCAAUCAAUCACUGAAUUAUGAGUGUUUUCCCUUGUACACAGUAAUGAACUGUAUUAUGCUGUAUCUGUCUGCACAUUGUGGUAGCUAUUGGUGGUACAUCAUCAUGUAUGCUUUGCAUUUUCUAGUAGCACCUUUAAUGAAUCUUCUUUACAAGAUGAUCACAUUCUUCUGAGUGUUAACGUGACACAUGUAUCUGCCCUCCAGUAUUUUAGACUAAUGUCUACCUCUUACUAGGACUCUGCUAUACAUAUGACUGGAUUGUACGACUAGUCGCAAUGGCGGUGUUUUUGACAAGAGCCCCAGUAUUACUGAUGCUAUUAGAAGAGUUGGGUUGGAGGUUGACCUUUGGGAGAUGGCUGGUGCAAAGAAGUUGUCUUUGCUUACCGCCCCCAUUCCGGGCCUCCCUGCUAGUUAGCUAGCAUUGUGGUAGUUCUUGAUAGUUUUUACUCAUGGAUGGGUUUCUGUAUGCCUGUUAUUGUCCGCCGUAGGGGCCCCUAGUUUGUUCUUGUAUCUGUACCUCUUCUUUAAUAUAUUAUCGCGCAGUUCUCCUGCGCUUUCAAGAAAAAAAAACAUUGGAGAGAGGGGGUCUCCAUGACGGAGUCCUCUCCUAUGCUUAAUAUGAGCCCCUGGGAGACCAUUAAGCAGCAGCUGGGUGGAUGAGGAGGCCAACAGCCCACAGAUUAUGUCUCUCCAGAUUUGACCAAAGCCAAUGUGUUUCAUAACCUCAAUGAGGAAGGGCCAAGACAUCGAGUCAAAGGCUUUUGUGAUAUCCAAUUUAAGAAGACGCGCCUGAUUUUGAUGAUGAAAAAGCUUCGAGGUUUGCUGCACCAACAUGAAACUGUCCUGAAUAAAACGGCCUUUAAUAAAUGCACUUUGCAUAGGAGAGACCAUUUCAUUGAACUUUCCAGCUAGACGAUUAGCUAAGACCUUGGUGAUUAAUUUUGCAAAGCUAUGGACAAGACUUAUAGGCUGAAAGUCUUUCACAUGAUCUGCUCCCUCCUUUUUAGGAAUUAGGGUGAUAUAAGCUGUGUUGAGCCUACCAAGGUUAUCAAAUCUCCUGCUCCAACUAGCAGUAAUAGCAGCCAUAACUUCUUUUUUGAUGAUGUUCCAGCAACUUUUAUAGAAACGACCCGUGAAACCAUCCGGCCCCGGCGCCUUAUCUGACGGUAAACCCUUAACAGUUUCCCAGACCUCUGAUUUGAAAAAUGGAGCAUCCAGGUCAGAAAGGUUGCGAUUAUGCAUACCAAGGGCCUCUAGCUCGACAACCUGAUCCCUCUCAACACUGGUUCCAAUAAGAUUAAGAAAAAAAAUGAUCCACUGCAGCUGCCUUGUCACUUUGGCUUGUCAAAACCUCUUCCCCUUGUACCAGGCGUGCCACAAAGUUUUUUUCUCUUGCGAUGUCUGGCAUGCAUAUGGAAAAAUUUGGUGUUGGCAUUACCAUCCUUAAGCCAAGAAACUCUAGAUCGCAGUCGAGUCAUAGUUCUCUUUAGUGAGGACAGCCACAAGGAAUGUUUUUUAAGUUUAUUUUUCAACCAAAUUUCAGCAGAGGUCAGCAAUCUAGCAUCAUGAGCUAUCUCCAAUCUAUGUAAGAUUUCUUUAGCCAAAGCUAGCUGAGAUCUAAUGUGACCCACUUGCUUGACACUCCACACCUGCAGGCAUUUAGCCCUUCUUUAGCUUUAAAAAUAGCGUCUGAUAGGGGCAAGGAACUUCCAUGACUGAAUCCCAAGCAGCCUGGACAACAUCACGAAAACCCUCCGAUUUUGUCCAGAAAGCUUCAAAAUGAAAACGUCUUUUUGCCAGAUUUGUUAUCAAGGAGUCCCAAAACCAAUGGACAUUGAUCUGAGUCGUGACAUGCGGCACUUUGCAGCAGCACAUCAGGGAAAAGUUGCUCCCAAUCCACUGUGCAAUAUUUGAGGUAGUUCAGGGGGUCUUUGCUGUCGUAGGUGAAGGAUGGGAAUGUCGUCGUCCUGUACCUUGCCAUCCUGUAGGGAAAGCCUUGGGGUAUGUACGACAUCCCAUAAGGAAAGACAGGUGAGUAGAUGGCGGAAGAGGUGGCGGACUGCGGGGCUUCUAGGGCAGUGGACCACACAGACGUCCAUGGCGGUCAGCUGCGCAGAAGCGACGCGAGCUGCUGCACGAUCAUGCGCUGGAAGUCUCUGUCGGCGUGUUGAGGGUCGGGCACGACGGGAGAGGCGAUGAAGUCAAUGGUGGUCGCCGUGGUGGUGGAGAUGGUGGCGAAGGAGACCACCGGGUUGUCGUCGUCAUGUCCUGGCAUCUCCGCUACUAGAUUGCUAUGGUUGUUAUGGCGGUGGCUAGUGUUGAGGGAAGUGUAAGGGGGCCGACCGCGGGCUUGCCCCCGGCCGAGCAAGAGGGGAUAGUUUUCAUUAUUAAUUCUUGCUUGAUUAGAUUGACAUCUCCUCUCAUUUAGAGACUUACUUUGCUCCCUAAGAAAAUAUCCUAACUAAAUCAGUCUAACUCAUCCCUUUCCUUAUCCUAACUAACCAAAUCAAUCUAACUUAUCUCUUUCCUAACAAACCAAUCUAAUCUAAUCUGUUCGGCACUCUACUUACCACAACAGUAUGUGUAUGGUGUUUGUUUGUUUGGCUAUUUGGGCCUUUGUCUUCUUAAUGCAAGGAUACACAGCUCUCCUGCGUAUUCCAGGAAAAAAUCCCUCUAACAGCAUCAUAUCUAUGUCGAUUACUUAUGUUAUGGUGAUCUUUUGUAACCUCAAAAUGCUAGGUGAUUAUUAUAGUAUAAUACCACUUUGUUUUCACUAUGACUUGCUGUCUUAUCAGGAGGAUAAAACAAAUAGUUGCCCAGAAUAAAGGGAAUGUUGUCCUUGAACUACAGCAAAGAUCAAUUGAAUUCACUUCCAUUAUACAAAGACAUCAGUCUAUCAGGUGGCCUACCAAACUUCUAUAAGUUACCACAGAAGAUUUGCCUAUCAUUGUAUUAGUUAUGUCAGAUAUUAAUCUUAGAGAAUCUGGUUCAAGUGCAGAUCGUCCUUGCUUGAACGCAUGCCUGUAUUAGAUGAAGCUAGUUAUCUGGUGAAGCGGGCUACUGCUACACAAUCAACUAUUUCAGCAGAUAAAAUUGCUCCAACAGUCACUCCUGGAAGCCUUAAGCUUCCGAAUGGUGUAGCAAAACCCACCUCAGCUCCUUUAGCUGAUUUGCUUGAUUUCAGUUCUGAUGGUGCCCCAGCUUCCACCGUUGCUUCUACUACAACACCUAAUGAUUUUUUGCAAGAUCUUCUGGGUAUUGGUGGAGUUAGUUCAUCAACGACAGGUAUUCUUUUUCCUGGUGUCUCUGUUCUUUCAUGUGCAGUUCCCAUGUUAGCUUGAUCCUCUUAUUACACUGAGAGCAAGAGGGCUUUAUUGACAUCCCUCCGUCUGCCCCCGCCCCACCCUGCCUCUCAGAAUAUGCACUUUUUACCUUGUCUGAAGUUUGAGUUCGCUGCAUGCUCAGUGAUUUGCUAAUUAGCCAUUUGCCUUCCUGUCCUUAAAUUUACUUCUAGUGCUAUAAUACGGGUCCAAAUUUUUGUAUGUAAUCUCAUUACUUGUUAUUUUUAACCCACUAAAAAGUCUUUAUUGAGUGCUUCAUUUUUACCUUUUGGGCACUGAUGUUAUUAUCAUAAAAUUUCCUUGCUUUAGCAAUAUCAAAUCUCUGUUUUGUUCAGGUGUAACUUCAACCGCAAGCACAGAUAUUCUUAUGGAUCUUCUGUCCAUUGGAUCAUCUCCAUCACAGAAUGGCACCCCCGUAACAGACUUCCGUCAUCCUGGACAAGGUAAAAGUGAUUUUAGCAAUUUGCUGUAUUUCUGUUUAUGAGUUAUGACUGUUGUUGAUUUUUGUUAUACUGAUGUAGCAGAGUCUAAACCUGUUCCUGGUGUACCUGAAGCUGUUGACCUCCUCGGUAGUUUGUCACCAGGUACAUUUGCUUCUGGUUGCUUUGGUUUAAUGUUGAUACCUAAUUUCUGUUUAUAAGCAUUAGUGAAUUAUCUAUCACUAUUGCAGCCGAGUCUAAACCCACACCAGUUGUACCUAAGGACAUGGAUCUGCUCGACGGUUUGUCAUCAAAUACAUCUAUUUCUGGUAAGUUUGGUAGUUCAUAUUGACAAACAAAGUAGUUAUAAUGUCGUCAUGGUCACUAAACCUACUAAUGUGAGCAGGACAUGAGAAUACAACCCACCCAUCAAUAACAGCUUUUCAGAGUGCAACCUUGAAGAUCACGUUUGAUUUCAAAAUGAAGCUUGGAAACCCACGAGAGACUACAAUUCAUGCCACUUUUACCAAUUUGACAUCUAGUACUUUUACAGAUUUUAUUUUUCAGGCUGCUGUUCCAAAGGUAAAAUCUUAUUAUUGUAUGUUAUAAUCUGUUUUUGAGCUGGCGCUACACCUUGAUGUUUCACGGUUUUUAUUCUGCACACAUAGGGCAUGUUUGGAAGCAAAGUAUUUCAAAACCAUGGUUUUAGAAUACUAUAGUUUUAAAAUAUCAUGACACAACCAUAGUAUCUUUUACAUCACUUCAAGCAAUACUUGUUUGGAGAGUAUCUCAAGCCAUGGUAUUUAGUAUGCAUGUGCCAGAAGCUAGUCAUAAACAAAAAUUGGGUUGGAGUAGAGUUUCAAAUACUCCAAAAAUAUCAUGGUAACUACUAAAAAAAGGUAGCCAAACACCUCUUGGCAAAAUAUACCAUAAUAUUCUUCAAUACUAUGGUUUUAUCUUAAAUCUCCAAAAAUAUUUUGCUUCCGAACACCCCCAUAGUUUCUACACUUAUAAACGAUGAUACUCCACGAUAGUUUAUACUUUAAAGCCCAAAUCUUUUAUUCAGCUUACCCAUGUCUGAAGCUGUUGAUCAUUCUUUUGUUUUUCACAAAUUAUAUAGCUUGAGUUUUGAAUGACUCUGUGCUACGAUCCUUACCAUUUUUCUUCACCUUAAACGUAAAGCAGUGGAAAGAGGUCUAGCAUGAUCAUCGUUUUGUGCUUUGUUCUUUGUGUUUUUAAACAUUAAGUUUUAUACUCCCUCUGUACCAAAUUAGUAGUCGUUUUAGGUCUUCAUUUUUAUGUCUAUAUUCAAAUGAAUGACAAUGAAUCUAGACACAUAAAACACAUACAUUAAUUAUUGAAUGAAUUUGUUAAAAAGCUAAAACGAUUUUUAUUUUGGAACAUAGGGAGUACUUGAUAUGCUGACAAUUUUUAUUCUUGCAGUUCAUCCAAUUGAGACUGGAUCCGGCUAGUGGCAACACUGUUCCAGCUAAUGGAAGUGGUUCAGUCACACAAGGGCUCAACAUCACCAAUAACCAACAGGGACAGGUAUAUGAAGAUCUGCACCCUUCGCUUCGAGUUCAGCUUCUUUUGUAUAUCUUUUCGUUGAUUUCAUUUUAGUCGUCUUCGAAUCAAUGUGUUUUACAAUGGUUUAGUAGAAGUGCUAACAUUUGAAGUUGAAAGUGUGUAUUUUUUUUCAAUUCAAAUUGCUAAACUUUAUUUUGGGUCACUGUCAUAACGGAUGAGACAAAUUUAGAUGAACUCUUGAAUUUAACAAAUCAAAUGAGCCCUGCGCAGGACAGGAAUAGGCCAUAGUCAGAGACUUUGAUUGUACACCGAUGCUCUGUAUGUACAUAAUUUUAAACCUUGAUAAUGAUAAUCCUGUAACCACUUUAUCCAGCAUUGUUUUCAAGGUUCAUCUUCUCAUUCCAUAUUCCUAGGCUUAUAUCUGACAUUUCUUUUCCCUCUAUCCUGCUGGGCAGAAACCGCUUGCAAUGCGGAUCCGGAUGUCUUAUAAAGUGAAUGGCGAGGACAGAUUGGAACAAGGCCAAGUCAGCAAUUUUCCUUCUGGACUAUAGGCCGUUUCUGUAUACUAUGACGUGUCGGGGACAGGCAUAUAGAACGAAGCCUUGUUUUACCCUCUACCUCAUUUUUUAAUUAUUCUGGGGAUUUGUCGGGGUGCUUAGAGAAAAUGUUUUUUCCGGCGGUUAGUUUUCCUGUACUAAGUAUAUUGUAUAUUAUUCCAGCAGCGAUGUGAUCUUCAAAUUCAUCGUGAUGUAUUCGACACCACGCUAAAGGAUGGUCUGAGCAAACUUUCUUCAGCUCCUCAAUCAUUGUAAAACUAGCUUCUGUUUUUCUUGUACACUAGAGAGUAGAGACUGGUAGCAUAUUCUGUAGCAUAUUCUGCCAGUACCGUUGCACUUCUGAUUUGCGGCCGUGCAAAUUAUGGGAUGCCGAACGCGCGGAUUUCUAUCGUAAUGCGCAAACUUUCAACUGCCUUUUAAUUUUUAAACCGCUGGUCUGUACAUCGAGCAGGUCGGUCAGGUGCAGGCGCUGGUGCUCGUCAAGCUUGGACAGCGCUGCUGAGUGCUGAGUAACCUCUUACAACAAUUGCACCAUAUGAACUUAUAACAAGUACAGUACAUUGAACCACGACAAUUACUCUAGUUGACCAUAAUUGAGAUCGAAUAAGCAGGGUCAGGCAUUAUGGUUUCUGUCUACAAGUUUAUCUUUGUACCUUGCAUCACAACCUUCCAGUGGAAAACUGCAAUGCAAAGGACUUCUGCAGCGCAUAAUUUGCUUUGCUUAUCUUAUCCUGCUCUCAUCUGCAAUAAAGAAAAUGACGGUUUCUCAAAUGAUGAAUUGAAGCUUACAAGAUAUAAACAUGGAAAAUAGUAAUAUGCCCCCAAACUUUUCAACAUCUGGUGUUUCUAAUGAUGUCCUACAACUGAAAGAAUAAUCCAAACUUGGGGUUAUCAAAAAAUGCAUCCAGUCCUGAAUACGGUAAUGCUUGAACAAUGCACCCAAAUAGCAAAGCAAAGUUUCAACAGCACCCACGUAAAAAUCAAAAGGCAAUCGCUGUUUCCUGUAAUAUUCCUACGAAAUUCCUACUGUGUAAACAGAUCCUAGUGCUUCAAAUAUAUCAAAUUAAACCAAAAUUCACAUGCAUAAAUAGUUUGAAAUGGAACAAAAUGUUUGAUAGAAACUGACAACAAAUGUUUCCCCAAAAACACCAAUUAAGAAAAACAAAAUAGGCUCCUCAGAUGUCUCUUCAUCUCCACAAAAUGAGCAGCACCUCGCUGCUUUCAGGAAUUGGAACGAUAUAGGAGGCCAAUUUAAAUCAUCACAGGAGCACUCAACCUUAAUUAAGCAGCAACAGUGCAGCAUCGAGAAGAAGAAGAAUAAGAAGCGGACAAACAAGAGUAGCCCAAACAUUGAUCUAUUCAAGAAACGAACUCGGCUCCUCAGAUGUCUCUUCAUCUCCACAUAGCGUGCAGCACUGCAGCGUCUCACUGGAGCUGCUUUCAGGAAUCGGAACGACAUUAGAAGUAAAUUUGGUCAUCACUGGAGCAUCCAAGUUUAAGGAAACAGAUCCGGCAUAACGUUCUUUGUACCUCGCCUUUGCAUAAAAAAAUAAAGAAAAAAAAUAAAGGAUGUAAACAGCCUCAGAAAAUCUACUCGCAUUGUAAACAUACAAGUGAAUCCCACUCAUUGAGCAUAAAUCACCGCAAACCAGAUCCUCGGCUGGGUGGAAUCAUACAGCAGUAGCGCCUAACAAGCUAUUAGGUAACGAAUCGUUCAAAAAAAAACAGCAGUGAAGAAAUUUAGAUACCAGGUGGAAGCUAGGGUUUGGCCGUGUAGGCAUGCACGAAGAUGGUUGCGUUGCGGCAAAGAGAAGGUUGGAGACGGACGUGGCACUGGUACCGUACCAUUCGUAUUUCGGGCGAAGGGGUCGCAGCCGAAACGUGGUGGCAGGAGCCGCAGAUGCUGUGGACGCCGCCGCAAACGAGAAAGAGGCGAGGGGACUGGCGAGGCGAGGGAGGCGCAACGCCCGCCGCAGCUCGGCAACACGGAGAGCGGAAGGCCGAAGCGGCUCUUGGGCUCAUAGAAGCCAGUGUGACAAGAGAUGGGCCAUGCGGCCAUGCCCAGUUGCCGACUCGGUGGGC
RNAcentral lists this long non-coding RNA (15039 nucleotides) under Zea mays. Its description in RNAcentral is "long non-coding RNA (ZMAY_LNC002637)". Lineage: Eukaryota; Viridiplantae; Streptophyta; Magnoliopsida; Poales; Poaceae. The record is from RNAcentral.